UUCGUGUGAACAGUGGUUGAUCACGAGUUAGUCGGUCCUAAGUUCAAGGCGAAAGCCGAAAAUUUUCAAGUAAAAUUUUGAUUCAUAUUUAAAACUUUGUAAUAUAAUUUAAACACUUGAAUAAUUUUGAACGAAAGGGAAUACGGUUCCAAUUCCGUAACCUGUUGAGUAUCCGUUUGUUAUUAAAUAUGGGCCUCGUGCUCAUCCUGGUAACAGGAACGACCAUAAAGAAGCCGUCGAGAGGUAUCGGAAGAGUUUUCUUUUCUGUUUUAUAGCCGUACUACCAUGGAAGUCUUUCGCAGAGAGAUAUGGUAGAUGGGCUAGAAGAGCAUGACAUAUACUGUUGUGUCGAUAUUUUCUCUUCGGACCUUGAAAAUUUAUGGUGGGGAUACGCAAACUUCUCAACAGGCCGUACCAAUAUCCGCAGCUGGUCUCCAAGGUGAAGAGUCUCUAGUCGAUAGAAUA
This 465-nucleotide ribosomal RNA is filed under the name Mulgravea aff. detriculata 0735. Its description in RNAcentral is "partial 28S ribosomal RNA". It matches the Rfam family "Eukaryotic large subunit ribosomal RNA", at positions 1508 to 1897 of the family's 3401-position model. Lineage: Eukaryota; Metazoa; Arthropoda; Insecta; Diptera; Drosophilidae. The record is from RNAcentral.